UACGGAAGGCAGCAGUGGGGAAUAUUGCACAAUGGGCGAAAGCCUGAUGCAGCUAUGCCGCGUGUAUGAAGAAGGCCUUAGGGUUGUAAAGUACUUUUCAUCGGGGAGGAAAAAACAAAACUAAUAAUUUUAUUUCUUGACGUUACCCGAAAAAGAAGCACCGGCUAACUCCGUGCCAGCAGCCGCGGUAAUACGGAGGGUGCUAGCGUUAAUCAGAAUUACUGGGCGUAAAGAGCACGUAGGUGGUUUUUUUAAGUCAGAUGUGAAAUCCCUGGGCUUAACCUAGGAACUGCAUUUUGAAACUGAAAUACUAGAGUAUCGUAGAGGGAGGUAGAAUUCUAGGUGUAGCGGUGAAAUGCGUAGAUAUCUGGAGGAAUACCUGUGGCGAAAGCGGCCUCCUAAACGAAUACUGACACUGAGGUGCGAAAGC
Molecule: ribosomal RNA, 430 nt
Filed under: uncultured bacterium
Lineage: Bacteria
Description: bacterial SSU rRNA
Rfam family: Bacterial small subunit ribosomal RNA
Source: RNAcentral